GUAUAAAGUGCUGUGCUGUGCUGUGCUGUGUUGUGCUAUUGUAUAAAGUGCUGUGCUGUGCUGUGCUGUGGUAUAAAGUGCUGUCUGUUUUUAUGUAAGAGAGUCACUGGCCAAGGAUAAUGAAGACUCCCCUUAUAACCACAUCCCUCCUUAAAGGUCCAUGAAGGUGCCACUGCCAAAACAAAAAGGCUGGAUGGCGGAGUGGGCGGCGGGCAGAGGUCGACACGAACGAGGCGACAAGUUUGCAAGCUGGCGUGCGAGUGUGUCCCACGAGAGAGGGCGAUAAGGGAGAGUGGGAGAGGCGCAGGACUUGUGGAGUUUUCUGCUGUGACAUCCCUUCCAUGACCAAUGACAAAUGGUCUUCCCUUCUGAGUGUCGGACGUCAGGUAAGCAAAAAUCACCGGCAGCUUCCAAAGUCAAGACGAGCGUAACAGGUCUCACAACUUCACAAGUGAUGAAGCGUACCAUACGUCGGACAAGGACUUCACUAAGGACGAGGCUAUCCACUCGAGUACACCAGCGGCAGCGAAAGAAGACGGCAGGUGUAAUAAGCAAACAACGAGCGUGGAGAGAACGGAAGAAACCAAUCACGGUGCCGCAAAAACGGACGGGAAAUAAAGAUUGGAUAAAAACGUCGAUCAGAAGUAUUGGGGGAAUCACGGGGCGCGUUGACUCCCCUGGGGUGACGAGGGGAGGGAGACAAGUUGAGAUAGGAAGCAGGUUGUAAAAAAUUGCUGUCACCACUCGUGGAGAGAGAGGUAAGGCAGGAGUCAAAUGUCAGUUCAAGGAAUUUACUGGAAGAGCUGCACUGUAAAGACAAGUGGAGAGAGGUGGGGGCAGGCAUCACCAAUACUGUAUAGGUGUGGUGUGCAGAUCUCUUGUUGUCUGAGGUUGCUCCUCGUCGUGCCUCAUUCUCACUGCACACCUGCCGCACCUACAUCCACUCAGCCAGUCAUCGUCCUACUUAUUCCCACUGGUUGAGGUAGACCCUGUCUCUCCUGUAGAUCUGGACCUGGUCAAGAAUAGUAAUAAAUGUAUCAAUAAAAAAAUAAGUGAUGCA
Molecule: unclassified non-coding RNA, 1060 nt
Filed under: Portunus trituberculatus (swimming crab)
Lineage: Eukaryota; Metazoa; Arthropoda; Malacostraca; Decapoda; Portunidae
Description: uncharacterized LOC123503863, transcript variant X2
Source: RNAcentral